UUCAGAUCUGAGUCUAGAGGCCAGAGACAGACGUCAGAGAGGUCUGAGGCAUGACAGGAAUUCAACGAAGGAGAAAUUCUCUGUUACUGGCUUUGAAAGUGGAAGGGGGACACAUGAGAGGGACUGGGGCGGCUUCUAGGGGCUGAGUACAGCCGUCAGCUAAAAGCCAGCAAAAAAACACUGGGGCCUUCAGCCUUACAAUGAGACACUGAACCUCACCAUCAACCUCAAUGAGCUUGGAACAGACCCUUCCCAAGAGCCCCCCAAUAGGAACACAGCAGCCUGGCAUGACCUUGAGUGUGAGACCAUGAGCAGAGGACCCAGCCCAGCCUCCUCUGGCCAACUGUGAGCUAACAAGCAUCUGUGUCCGGGCUACUUUGUUACACAGCAAUAGACAGCUAACACAGCAACUAGAUGAGAAUUCAAUCCCAGGAGUGGGUAACCCCACAGCCCCUGCUUCGUCAACUGAUCCUGAUGGCCAUCCCAUUGCCUGCGGGGCUCAGAUAGGACCUGGGGUCCUGCACAGUAGACUGAAACAACAAAACUAGGAAAUAGGCUUUGUUAAGAGAGAUGGAGUGGCAUCAAGGCUCUCCUCCCUCAAUAAAUUGACUGAGGACACCCAACCAUGAAUCCUACUUUCUCAGAACCUGUAAUAAACUCGUGAUCACUCCCACUUUACGGAUAAGAAAACUGAGGUUCGUGGAGAUGACAACUUGACCAAGAUGGUAGAGUUUAUGACAGGACGGGCCUCUCCAUUACCGCCCCCCGCACCCACCCAAUUCUGUGUCCUCUGCUCACCCCUCACCUCCUCCAGCACCUUCUUUUCCAGGAUGAAUGACAAGACAGUAAAAUGGAAGCCCCAGGCUCGGUACCCUCCUGGAAUUCACAAAGUCUGUUUCAAGAAGUAUGGAUCCGGUCUCAACCCCUCACUUCAUGAAUCAGGAAGCAGAGACAGUGUAUGAGGUGAGGCUAACUAACUUCAAGAAUUACCUUGUAUUCCUCCUGAGGUCAGAGUUUGAUCUGUUCUCCCCUUCCACCCUGACCAAGGACUGACCUAGUCUAGAGCUACACAGGACGGAAGCACCAGCAUCUAGAAAAUAUCCAAAAGAAGGACACCUGGGUGGCUCAGUGGUUGAGCAUCUGCCUUUGGCUCAGGGCAUGAUCCCGGGGUCUUGGGAUCGAGUCCCACAUUGGGCUCCCUGUGGGGAGCCUGCUUCUCCCUCUGACUGUGU
Molecule: long non-coding RNA, 1232 nt
Organism: Canis lupus familiaris (dog)
Lineage: Eukaryota; Metazoa; Chordata; Mammalia; Carnivora; Canidae
Exons: 3
Source: RefSeq, a predicted model, not a curated record